GUGCCAGCCGCCGCGGUAAUACGGAAGGUCCGGGCGUUAUCCGGAUUUAUUGGGUUUAAAGGGAGCACAGGCCGGCUGUCAAGCGUGUUGUGAAAUGUAGGCGCUCAACGUCUGACUUGCAGCGCAUACUGGUCCACUUGAGUGCGCACAACGCGGGCGGAAUUUGUCGUGUAGCGGUGAAAUGCUUAGAUAUGACGAAGAACUCCGAUUGCGAAGGCAGCUGACGGGAGCGUUACUGACGCUGAAGCUCGAAAGUGCGGGUAUCGAACAGGAUUAGAUACCCUGGUAGUCCGCACGGUAAACGAUGGAUGCCCGCUAUUUGUCCAUUAGGAUAAGUGGCCAUGUGAAAACGUUAAGCAUCCCACCUGGGGAGUACGCCGGCAACGGUGAAACUCAAAGGAAUUGACGG
Molecule: ribosomal RNA, 409 nt
Filed under: uncultured bacterium
Lineage: Bacteria
Description: bacterial SSU rRNA
Rfam family: Bacterial small subunit ribosomal RNA
Source: RNAcentral